RNAcentral lists this ribosomal RNA (253 nucleotides) under uncultured bacterium. RNAcentral describes it as "partial 16S ribosomal RNA". It matches the Rfam family "Bacterial small subunit ribosomal RNA", at positions 524 to 776 of the family's 1533-position model. The record is from RNAcentral.
GACGGAGGAUGCAAGCGUUAUCCGGAAUGACUGGGCGUAAAGCGUCCGCAGGUGGCAGUUUAAGUCUGCUGUCAAAGACCGGGGCUUAACUUCGGAAAGGCAGUGGAAACUGAACAGCUAGAGUAUGGUAGGGGCAGAGGGAAUUCCUGGUGUAGCGGUGAAAUGCGUAGAGAUCAGGAAGAACAUCGGUGGCGAAGGCGCUCUGCUGGACCAUAACUGACACUCAGGGACGAAAGCUAGGGGAGCGAAUGGG